GACGAACGCUGGCGGCGUGCCUAAUACAUGCAAGUCGAACGAGAGCGACCGGUGCUUGCACUGGUCAAUCUAGUGGCGAACGGGUGAGUAACACGUGGGUAACCUGCCCAUCAGAGGGGGAUAACAUUCGGAAACGGAUGCUAAAACCGCAUAGGUCUUCGAACCGCAUGGUUUGAAGAGGAAAAGAGGCGCACGCUUCUGCUGAUGGAUGGACCCGCUGUGCAUUAGCUAGUUGGUGAGGUAACGGCUCACCAAGGCCGUGAUGCAUAGCCGACCUGAGAGGGUGAACGGCCACAUUGGGACUGAGACACGGCCCAAACUCCUACGGGAGGCAGCAGGAGGGAAACUUCCGCAAUGGACGCAAGUCUGACGGAGCAAAGCCGCGGGAGUGAAGAAGGUUUUCGGAUCGUAAAACUCUGUUGUUAGAGAAGAAUAAGUGCUAGAGUAACUGUUAGCGACGUGAAGGUAUCUAACCAGAAAGCCACGGCUAACUAAGUG
This 498-nucleotide ribosomal RNA is filed under the name uncultured bacterium. RNAcentral describes it as "partial 16S ribosomal RNA". It matches the Rfam family "Bacterial small subunit ribosomal RNA", at positions 28 to 507 of the family's 1533-position model. The record is from RNAcentral.